GCCAGAAGGAUGGGGUGGCUCCCACUCCUGCUGCUUCUGACUCAAUGCUUAGGGGUCCCUGGGCAGCGCUCGGCAUUGAAUGACUUCCAGGUGCUCCGGGGCACAGAGCUACAGCACCUGCUACAUGCGGUGGUGCCCGGGCCUUGGCAGGAGGAUGUGGCAGAUGCUGAAGAGUGUGCUGGUCGCUGUGGGCCCUUAAUGGACUGCCGGGCCUUCCACUACAAUGUGAGCAGCCAUGGUUGCCAACUGCUGCCAUGGACUCAACACUCGCCCCACACGAGGCUGCGGCGUUCUGGGCGCUGUGACCUCUUCCAGAAGAAAGGCGAGUGGGGGUGGAGAGGGGCAGGGUGGGAGACAGGGGACCUCAGCCCAAGUUGAUCUUCUGUCUCUUGCUCCCAGACUACAUACGGACCUGCAUCAUGAACAAUGGGGCUGGGUACCGGGGCACCAUGGCCACGACCGUGGGUGGCCUGCCUUGCCAGGCUUGGAGCCACAAGUUCCCGAAUGAUCACAAGUGAGACAAACACCUUCCCUCUGUCCCGGCCUGGGGCCUUCCCCCAACACACACUAUAGUGAUGCUCUGGGCCCUCAGGUACACGCCCACGCUCCGGAAUGGCCUGGAAGAAAACUUCUGCCGUAACCCUGAUGGCGACCCCGGAGGUCCUUGGUGCUACACAACAGACCCUGCCGUGCGCUUCCAGAGCUGCGGCAUCAAAUCCUGCCGGGAGGCCGCGUGUGUCUGGUGCAAUGGCGAGGAUUACCGCGGCGCGGUAGACCGCACGGAGUCAGGGCGCGAGUGCCAGCGCUGGGAUCUUCAGCACCCGCACCA
This 829-nucleotide small RNA is filed under the name Pongo abelii (Sumatran orangutan). RNAcentral's name for it is "retained intron". Lineage: Eukaryota; Metazoa; Chordata; Mammalia; Primates; Hominidae. The record is from RNAcentral.